RNAcentral lists this long non-coding RNA (1147 nucleotides) under Homo sapiens (human). Its description in RNAcentral is "HSALNT0383329". The record is from RNAcentral. Lineage: Eukaryota; Metazoa; Chordata; Mammalia; Primates; Hominidae.
AACAAGAGGAUUUUCCACUAUCUGCUCCAAAUGCUGCAAGUUCUCCUCUAGCAGGGAGCAGAGCUUCCAGGCAUUAUGAUCUGUCCUGCCUGUCUGGAUGGAACUUCUGCUCCAUACUAUUGAAAUGAAGAGAAUCAGACUACCCACCUUGGAUUCUGAUAUGAAAGAUUUAGGAUAAAAGAGCUACUCCAUCAGCCUGGAAAGAUGACUCACUGGCAAACUCUUAGAUAAAGCUAAACUUCACACCAAACUGCAAGAGAGUCUAAGAAUGAAGAGAAAACUGCUUUGGCAAGCAACUACCUAGUCUCUGACACAGUCCACCUUUUUGGUCAGCCAAUAUCCAGCUCCGCCUUGUCUUCUUACACAAAGCCCAGGCAAAGCCCAGGAUUGCUAACUGUUGUACAAACCUGUUGGUCAGGCCUAGAUGGAAGCUUUCAACCCCAUUUCAAGUCAGCUGGCUUAUCCAACCCUGAAAGGUCUGUGAUCUCUCAGUUCUUUUUAUAAACAGGCCUCUGCUUGCAAAUGGCCAAUUCUUGCCUGAGCUCAUCUCUUUCUUGUAAUACUUUAUGAAAGGCAGCCAGUAGUAACUAAUGCAUAAAUUUUUCCAACCAACUGGCCCAAAGGUCAGUAGACCUUUUUACCAAAUGUUUCGCAAUGUAUAGCAUGAAUCUCCAUCUUUCUCCUCUCUGUUAUCAGGUUCCUCAGUGCCCAACCAUUAUGUCAAUGCCUUUUACCUUAAUUUUUUUCUUAUGGCAACAUUUUCUUCUGGAAUUAUUUCUGUACUGUAGCAAAUGCCCUAAACUGUGUAAAACAGUUUGAAGACACUAUUUUUUUUUCUAUUUUUAUCAUUUGUUCCUCGGUCUACUCAAUACGCUCCCUGCUUAAAACUCCCCUAGUGAUUUUCUGUUGGGUUUAAAAUAGAGUCUAAACUCUUUACCAUGGAUUACAAGCUUCUCUGUUAACUGGUUGUAACCUGCAUUUCCAGCCUCCUUUGGCGCCACUCUUGUCCCACCAACUAUAUCACAUUUCCUUUGGAACAUUUUCUGCUUCUUGAACUUGCCCAGGUCCUUGCUGUUAGCUGGUCCCUUUGCCUAUGAUGAUCUUCCUUCUUAGCAUCACUUGAACUGCAAAAAAUAAAAAAUGAAAC